RNAcentral lists this long non-coding RNA (1412 nucleotides) under Pan troglodytes (chimpanzee). Its description in RNAcentral is "long non-coding RNA NONPTRT004964". Lineage: Eukaryota; Metazoa; Chordata; Mammalia; Primates; Hominidae. The record is from RNAcentral.
GCACCGGCUGCCUCAUGGUUCUCAGCCACAGAGUUCUAGAAAACGUUCCACACUCUGGAGCCCCAUUGUCAGCCCCAGGCCCAGCCCCAGGGGUGCUCCCGGUGCUGCCUGCAGGGCCACAGGCUCCUAGGGGAAAGUGCACCCACAGUCACUCGCAGAUGGCCAUUUUCCAGGGACACACUUUCAACUGAGCAUUGAAAGACAAACAGCGCUCGAGUGGAUUAGGCCGCAGUGGUUGAGAAGCUCAAGUAACGAAUCCAGAAAACUCUGGAGAGCCCUUCAGAGCAUACACACCACGUCUACUUCUCAGCGCCUCUGGAGCGAGUCCCGUUGCCAGGAGAACUUCUUUCUUGUUCUUGGAAUAGAUGCUGCGCAGAAGAACCUUUCUGGAGGCCAGGGCCACAUCAUGGAAGAUUGUGACCUCAAAGAGCCUGAAGGACUCCUCACUGUCAGCAGCUUCUGUCUCCAGCAUUGCAAAGCCCUGAUCCAGACCAAGCUCUCGGGGCCGCCUGGCAGCAAACAGGGGAGGCUGAUGACAUGCAGCCGCUUCCUGAAGACCCCCUCAUGCGGAGGUGGCCAGCACAUCACUAUUCCAAGGAAAAGGAUGUUCACUCCACGCAAGCUCAAAUUGACACUCUUUAAUAGCGACGUUUGCUAAAAUCAGGAGGACUUUGUACCUUUAUGAGGAAUUUUUCAUUUUCUUCCUGGCUGGAUUGAUGUGGAAACCAGAGCUGUCUGUGGAGCUGUUUUCCAGACCCCAGGCCCAUUCCUGGGAUCUCUCCAACAGGACCUGUCCUGUGUUCUGGGCUCGUCUCGGGUCUGACCAGGAGAUGGAGGAUGUGUCCUUGGCAGAGCCAAGGGGAGACAGAGGUUUCUGGGUGCCAUGACAGGCUGUCGGGGUCCAGGUGGCACCCAUGGGCCCCCUGCCCCAUGUGAAUGCUGCUGGCACCUGGUGGGGGUUGCUCAGGGAUGGACCCUGGGCAUGGCUUCUGGGCUGCUUAGUCCAGGGGGAGCAACUUGUGGCCAAAUCCAUGAGUUCAGAGGAAAAGGGGAAGGCACUGAAACGUCACCAGAGAGACAGCUGUUGAGACCGCUCAGAAACCGUCUGUCUGUCACACUGUGUCCUGGCUGCUGUGUGGUCAGGGCACCAUGAGGGUGUACAGAUGUGCUGUGUCCUCAAAGCCUCGCAGGUGCCCUCACUUAUUGCCUGGGCCCCUGCCCAGCAGCCUCAAGGACAGGCCUUUCUCCCUCACGGUUGUGGACAGGAGGUCGCACCACUGGCCUGCGAGAGCCUCUGGUGGGCCCGUGGCUUCCCCCAGUUAUCUGCCAAGGAAAACUGUGCUCUUUGAAGGGCAGAGCCAAGAAGUCAGCCCUGACUUUUGUAAAAUUUUAUUAAAUAAAACCACCUGGAU